Non-coding RNA from Pelodiscus sinensis (Chinese soft-shelled turtle), 1740 nucleotides. NCBI's taxonomy places the organism in Eukaryota, Metazoa, Chordata, Testudines, Trionychidae. The record is from RefSeq and is a predicted model, not a curated record.
ACUCCUGAUUACUCUGUUUCUUGGUCAUAGUUUGUAUUUCUUUUAUGCUGGUAUGUUAAUAGUUUUCUGCCUAAUUAUUGGUUAGUUCUAAUUGUACUUAGAUACAAAUAUUACAAAAAGUUUAAGAUAAACUUGUGAUGAACAAAAUAGAUAAUUCCAAAACUCAGAGUAAAUGAGCCACAUAAUGGUAAAUACAUUGGUUUUUAUAAGGUCCUUCUUACAAAGUUUAAAAUGAUUAACUUUAAAAUACAUUUAAUUUAUGGUCCCUUUAUGAGGAAUUCAUACAGAGAUGAUGUUAUGAAUUAACUGUAGGCACUUUAAGUUCUUGAUUGGUUUUAAAGCACUGAACAUGAAACUGAACAAAUAAUUUUGAAUCCCUUGUUGAAUGUUUCAUUUUUCUGCUAAUAUGUGAUUCACUUUAGGGACCUUAAUGGAAAUAAUAUCACAAGAAUCACCAAGACUGACUUUACUGGCCUAAGACAUCUUCGAGUCCUUCAGCUCAUGGAGAACAAGAUUAGUACUAUUGAAAGGGGAGCAUUCCAGGAUCUGAAAGAGCUGGAGAGGCUGCGUUUAAACAGAAAUAAUCUUCAGCUGCUUUCUGAACUGCUGUUCCUAGGGACUCCAAAGCUAUACAGACUUUGACGAAACAACUUCCAAACACAAGUGGUAUUUGAAGAGCUGUGUGGAUUGACAAGUGACUAACAGAGUAAACAGUUCCAUUCUGUUCCGAUAUCCCAUGGUGUGAUGCAUUGCUACAGAUACCAUGUAAGCCUCAGGAAAUAGACACAAUCCAAUUUUUAUUAAACUCUUGAUGCCAAUGUAUGUUGAUGUUAUUGCUAAUUAGCAAACUAAAUGCAAAACUGUUUCUUCUUCCUGUCAAAAGCUGUGAUGUUGCUGCCUUACAGAGUUUUAGUAAUAUAUAAAUCUAAUACAGAUGUUAUAAUUUUUAGUUAUGUACUGAUAUUGGUAUUGUUGCUAAUCACUUUCUUUCAGUUUAUGUAUAUACAAAAUAGAAGUGCUCAUCUAGAGUUGUAGGUGCCUUUGCUGUAUAUCUCAAUAAGUAAGCAGCAAAACCAGUAGCAACUUCCUAACCUCAAAACCAAUAAUUACCAUCCAGAAAACCUUCAAAGUCAAACAGCUGCCUGCACUGCCCAAUUAUGAGCCUCUCUGUGUACCUUGGUCUUGCAAAAAGACUGGGAAAAUAGAUAGGCUCAUCAGUGUAUCCUGAACAUGACCAACUAUGGGCUCUUUUGGACUGAGGGAAUUAGAUGGAUGGAUGUCAAGGUCAUGAGCACCUCAGGACAAAUGUCCUACUUCUUGAACAUCUCACCUGGUGCUGGUAACCAUGGUAUUAACAGAGAAGGAUGUGAUAUAUGAGGUAAAUAGGUCUAUAAAAAUGCAAAAAGUUCUAAAUUUUUCUUUACUGUUUUCCAAGUGAAGGUUUCACUUGAUAGCUAUGAGGGAUCUGGAGCUCUAAUACAGGUUGGACCUUCCUGGUCUGACACCCUUGGGUCUUGAUGGGUCCCAAACAAGGGAUUUUUCCAGACCAGAGGAAAGGUCACUUCUGGACACCUCUCCCUCCCCUACCCCCUCCCCCCCUCGCCCUUCUCUGCUCUUGUCCUGGUCGCUGGCCUCCCAGCCAGCUCCCGUACCCUGCUACCGGCUCAGCUGAGCUUACAGUCAGCAGGGUGCUGGCUCCCUUGCCACAGGGCUCCACCUAGGCUAUUGGCAGACACCUGA